GACCUCUCUGGUGGCUUAGUGGUUAGAGCAUCUGCUCCUGAUGUGGGAGGUGGUGGGUUUAAACCCCAGCUGAGUCA
Potamilus streckersoni is the source of this 77-nucleotide non-coding RNA. The record is from the annotation of a GenBank genome assembly. Lineage: Eukaryota; Metazoa; Mollusca; Bivalvia; Unionida; Unionidae.